AAAUUGAAGAGUUUGAUCAUGGCUCAGAUUGAACGCUGGCGGCAGGCCUAACACAUGCAAGUCGAACGGUAACAGAAAGCAGCUUGCUGCUUUGCUGACGAGUGGCGGACGGGUGAGUAAUGUCUGGGAAACUGCCUGAUGGAGGGGGAUAACUACUGGAAACGGUAGCUAAUACCGCAUAACGUCGCAAGACCAAAGAGGGGGACCUUCGGGCCUCUUGCCAUCGGAUGUGCCCAGAUGGGAUUAGCUUGUUGGUGGGGUAACGGCUCACCAAGGCGACGAUCCCUAGCUGGUCUGAGAGGAUGACCAGCCACACUGGAACUGAGACACGGUCCAGACUCCUACGGGAGGCAGCAGUGGGGAAUAUUGCACAAUGGGCGCAAGCCUGAUGCAGCCAUGCCGCGUGUAUGAAGAAGGCCUUCGGGUUGUAAAGUACUUUCAGCG
This 444-nucleotide ribosomal RNA is filed under the name Escherichia coli. Its description in RNAcentral is "bacterial SSU rRNA". It matches the Rfam family "Bacterial small subunit ribosomal RNA", at positions 1 to 441 of the family's 1533-position model. Lineage: Bacteria; Pseudomonadati; Pseudomonadota; Gammaproteobacteria; Enterobacterales; Enterobacteriaceae. The record is from RNAcentral.